UUAUUUAAUCGUGUCAGCGAUGUUAAUGGAUGUUAAUGUCAUUUUGUUUCCGAACAAAGAUAAUGUCAUUUGGAAGAAGCUUCUCUGAUAGUGUUACCGGCUUUUUCACAAUAAACUUUACAAAAAUGUCCCAAUGGAGUCUUUCUUGUAAUCUUUACUUUGAAAAUUAUCUAUCAACAAACAGAAAAUUGAAGAUUUAUUACAAUUCGGUAUUCUAAAGGUGAUGUGGAAGAUGGUAAUGGUGUCAUGGUAUGGAUAAAGUAGACUGAAACAUGUUGAAGGAUAGACACUAGAGAUUGAAGGAAUUAAUUCUUUAAUGAUAAUUAAAGAAUGUAAUAAAUGGAGACACUUAAAUUUUUGAAGACAAUGUUAUAGUUCAACAGGUAAUAGUUAUUUUGUGAAAAACAUUGUUCCUAAAUUAUUCUACUUAAGAUGCUCAUUUUGUAUUGUAGAAAAUGUAGAACAGAAAUUAUAUUAUACAUAACAGGGUUCGUCUGA
RNAcentral lists this long non-coding RNA (498 nucleotides) under Onthophagus taurus. Its description in RNAcentral is "uncharacterized LOC111416342, transcript variant X1". The record is from RNAcentral. Lineage: Eukaryota; Metazoa; Arthropoda; Insecta; Coleoptera; Scarabaeidae.